Molecule: transfer RNA, 85 nt
Organism: Felis catus (domestic cat)
Lineage: Eukaryota; Metazoa; Chordata; Mammalia; Carnivora; Felidae
Rfam family: tRNA
About the family: Transfer RNA (tRNA) molecules are approximately 80 nucleotides in length. Their secondary structure includes four short double-helical elements and three loops (D, anti-codon, and T loops).
Source: Rfam
GCCUGGGUGGCUCAGUCGGUUAAGUGUCCGAUUUCAGCUCAGGUCAUGAUCUCACAGUUCGUGGGUUCAAGCCCCACAUCAGGCU